RNAcentral lists this ribosomal RNA (410 nucleotides) under uncultured bacterium. RNAcentral describes it as "bacterial SSU rRNA". It matches the Rfam family "Bacterial small subunit ribosomal RNA", at positions 370 to 772 of the family's 1533-position model. The record is from RNAcentral.
AAUGGGGGCAACCCUGAUCCAGCCAUGCCGCGUGCGGGAAGAAGGCCUUCGGGUUGUAAACCGCUUUUGUCAGGGAAGAAAUCCUUCGGGUUAAUACCUCGAGGGGAUGACGGUACCUGAAGAAUAAGCACCGGCUAACUACGUGCCAGCAGCCGCGGUAAUACGUAGGGUGCAAGCGUUAAUCGGAAUUACUGGGCGUAAAGCGUGCGCAGGCGGUUGUGCAAGACAGGUGUGAAAUCCCCGGGCUUAACCUGGGAACUGCACUUGUGACUGCACGGCUGGAGUACGGUAGAGGGGGAUGGAAUUCCGCGUGUAGCAGUGAAAUGCGUAGAUAUGCGGAGGAACACCGAUGGCGAAGGCAGUCCCCUGGACCUGUACUGACGCUCAUGCACGAAAGCGUGGGGAGCAAA